RNAcentral lists this transfer RNA (69 nucleotides) under Arbanatus sp. RNAcentral describes it as "tRNA-Gln". Lineage: Eukaryota; Metazoa; Arthropoda; Insecta; Hemiptera; Aradidae. The record is from RNAcentral.
UAUGCAUGGGUGUGUGAUGCACCUCAAAUUUUGAAUUUGAAGGUUUAAGUUUGAUUCUUAAAUGUAUAG